UUGAACGCUGGCGGUAUGCUUAACACAUGCAAGUCGAACGGAAACGAUACUAGCUUGCUAGUAGGCGUCGAGUGGCGGACGGGUGAGUAACGCGUAGGAAUCUGCCUGAUAGUGGGGGAUAGCCCGAAGAAAUUCGGAUUAAUACCGCAUAAUCUAUUCGUAGUAAAGUGGGGGACUUUCGAGCCUCACGCUAUCAGAUGAGCCUGCGUAAGAUUAGCUUGUUGGUAGGGUAAAAGCCUACCAAGGCGACGAUCUUUAGCUGGUCUGAGAGGAUGAUCAGCCACAUCGGGACUGAGACACGGCCCGAACUCCUACGGGAGGCAGCAGUGGGGAAUAUUGGACAAUGGGGGCAACCCUGAUCCAGCAAUACCGCGUGUGUGAAGAAGGCCUGAGGGUUGUAAAGCACUUUCAAUUGUGAAGAAAAGUUAGCGGUUAAUAACCGUUAGCCUUGACGUUAACUUUAGAAGAAGCACCGGCUAACUCCGUGCCAGCAGCCGCGGUAAUACGGAGGGUGCAAGCGUUAAUCGGAAUUACUGGGCGUAAAGCGUGCGUAGGCGGUUUAUUAAGUCAGAUGUGAAAGCCCCGGGCUUAACCUGGGAACUGCAUUUGAAACUGGUCAACUAGAGUAUGGUAGAGGAAAGUGGAAUUUCUGGUGUAGCGGUGAAAUGCGUAGAUAUCAGAAGGAACAUCAAUGGCGAAGGCAGCUUUCUGGACCAAUACUGACGCUGAGGUACGAAAGCGUGGGUAGCAAACAGGAUUAGAUACCCUGGUAGUCCACGCCGUAAACGAUGAUAACUAGCCGUUGGGGGGAUUUACCCCUUAGUGGCGAAGCUAACGCGUUAAGUUAUCCGCCUGGGGAGUACAGCCGCAAGGUUAAAACUCAAAGGAAUUGACGGGGACCCGCACAAGCGGUGGAGCAUGUGGUUUAAUUCGAUGCAACGCGAAGAACCUUACCUGGUCUUGACAUCCUGCGAACUUUCUAGAAAUAGAUUGGUGCCUUCGGGAACGCAGUGACAGGUGCUGCAUGGCUGUCGUCAGCUCGUGUCGUGAGAUGUUGGGUUAAGUCCCGUAACGAGCGCAACCCCUAUCCUUAUUUGCCAGCACAUCAUGGUGGGAACUAUAAGGAGACUGCCGGUGAUAAACCGGAGGAAGGCGGGGACGACGUCAAGUCAUCAUGGCCCUUACGACCAGGGCUACACACGUGCUACAAUGGGAAGGACAAAGAGCCGCGAAGCCGCGAGGUGUAGCUAAUCUCAUAAACCUUUUCGUAGUCUGGAUUGGAGUCUGCAACUCGACUCCAUGAAGUCGGAAUCGCUAGUAAUCGUAGAUCAGAAUGCUACGGUGAAUACGUUCCCGGGUCUUGUACUCACCGCC
This 1374-nucleotide ribosomal RNA is filed under the name uncultured bacterium. Its description in RNAcentral is "bacterial SSU rRNA". It matches the Rfam family "Bacterial small subunit ribosomal RNA", at positions 29 to 1394 of the family's 1533-position model. The record is from RNAcentral.